Molecule: ribosomal RNA, 468 nt
Filed under: uncultured bacterium
Lineage: Bacteria
Description: partial 16S ribosomal RNA
Rfam family: Bacterial small subunit ribosomal RNA
Source: RNAcentral
GACGAACGCUGGCGGCGUGCUUAACACAUGCAAGUCGAACGGAAAGGCCCUGCUUUUGUGGGGUGCUCGAGUGGCGAACGGGUGAGUAACACGUGAGUAACCUGCCCUUGACUUUGGGAUAACUUCAGGAAACUGGGGCUAAUACCGGAUAGGAGCUCCUGCUGCAUGGUGGGGGUUGGAAAGUUUCGGCGGUUGGGGAUGGACUCGCGGCUUAUCAGCUUGUUGGUGGGGUAGUGGCUUAACAAGGCUUUGACGGGUAGCCGGCCUGAGAGGGUGACCGGCCACAUUGGGACUGAGAUACGGCCCAGACUCCUACGGGAGGCAGCAGUGGGGAAUAUUGCACAAUGGGCGGAAGCCUGAUGCAGCAACGCCGCGUGCGGGAUGACGGCCUUCGGGUUGUAAACCGCUUUCGCCUAUGACGAAGCGUGAGUGACGGUAAUGGGUAAAGAAGCACCGGCUAACUACGUG